AACGAACGCUAGCGGCAUGCCUAACACAUGCAAGUCGAACGAGACCUUCGGGUCUAGUGGCGCACGGGUGCGUAACGCGUGGGAACCUGCCCUUAGGUUCGGAAUAACUCCCCGAAAGGGGUGCUAAUACCGGAUAAUGUCUUCGGACCAAAGAUUUAUCGCCUUUGGAUGGGCCCGCGUUGGAUUAGCUAGUUGGUAGGGUAAAAGCCUACCAAGGCGACGAUCCAUAGCUGGUCUGAGAGGAUGAUCAGCCACACUGGGACUGAGACACGGCCCAGACUCCUACGGGAAGCAGCAGUGGGGAAUAUUGGACAAUGGGCGAAAGCCUGAUCCAGCAAUGCCGCGUGAGUGAUGAAGGCCUUAGGGUUGUAAAGCUCUUUUACCCGGGAUGAUAAUGACAGUACCGGGAGAAUAAGCUCCGGCUAACUCCGUG
RNAcentral lists this ribosomal RNA (433 nucleotides) under uncultured bacterium. RNAcentral's name for it is "partial 16S ribosomal RNA". It matches the Rfam family "Bacterial small subunit ribosomal RNA", at positions 29 to 507 of the family's 1533-position model. The record is from RNAcentral.